CCUUUAAAGAGUGCGUAACAGCUCACUAGUCGAGUGACCCUGCGCCGAAAAUGUACCGGGGCUAAGCCUGAUACCGAAACUGCGGAUUGUAGGAAACUAUAGUGGUAGGGGAGCGUUGUAUACGAGUGGAAGCCGUACCGUGAGGAGCGGUGGAUUGUAUAGAAGUGAGAAUGCCGGUGUGAGUAGCGAGAUGUAGGUGAGAAUCCUACACACCGAAAGCCCAAGGAUUCCAGGGGAAGGUUCGUCCGCCCUGGGUAAGUCGGGACCUAACGCGAGGCCGAAAGGCGUAGUGGAUGGAAAGCAGGCGAAAGAUUCCUGCACCCGUAUAUGGAGCGAAGGAGUGACGGAGACGGAUAGUGUGACCCUCUUAAUGGAUUGAGGGCGAAGCGAAGCGGCUGGUUACCAGGCAAAUCCGGUAACCAAAAGGCUAGAGCGUGACAGGUAAGCGAAAUCUAAGGAAAGUAGCGAAGCACAUGAUGACGGCUUCCAGGAAAAGCUUCUGGCAAUGCAUAUGCGGCCCGUACCAAAACCGACACAGGUGGGCAGGGAGAGAAUCCCGAGGUGAGCGAGAGAACUGUUGCCAAGGAACUCGGCAAAAUGACUCCGUAAGUUAGCGAGAAGGAGUGCUUAAGCAAUUAAGCCGCAGUGAAGAGGCCCAAGCGACUGUUUAACUAAAACACAGCUCUCUGCGAAGUCGCAAGACGAAGUAUAGGGGGUGACACCUGCCCGGUGCUGGAAGGUUAAGAGGAUCUGUUAAGAGCGAUCUGAAGCAGUGAUCCGAAGCCCCAGUGAACGGCGGCCGUAACUAUAACGGUCCUAAGGUAGCGAAAUUCCUUGUCAGGUAAGUUCUGACCCGCACGAAAGGUGUAACGAUUUGGGCGCUGUCUCGGCAGCAGACUCGGUGAAGUCUUAGUACCUGUGAAGAUGCAGGUUACCCGCGACUAGACGGAAAGACCCCAUGGAGCUUUACUGCAGCCUGAUAUUGAAUUCUGGUCAUACAUGUACAGGAUAGGUGGGAGACAAAGAGACGUGCACGCCAGUGUACGAGGAGUCGACGUUGGGAUACCACUCUUGUGUGACCGGGGUUCUAACCUGGUAUCGAGAACAGGUACGGGGAGAGUGUCAGGUGGGCAGUUUGACUGGGGCGGUCGCCUCCCAAAGAGUAACGGAGGCGCCCAAAGGUACGCUCAGAUUGGAUGGAAACCAAUCGACGAGUGCAAUUGCAGAAGCGUGCUUGACUGUGAGACUUACAAGUCGAACAGGGACGAAAGUCGGGAAUAGUGAUCCGGCGGUGCCGAAUGGAAGGGCCGUCGCUCAACGGAUAAAA
Molecule: ribosomal RNA, 1327 nt
Filed under: human gut metagenome
Description: bacterial LSU rRNA
Rfam family: Bacterial large subunit ribosomal RNA
Source: RNAcentral